This 200-nucleotide small RNA is filed under the name Arabidopsis thaliana (thale cress). RNAcentral's name for it is "ATSL082230". The record is from RNAcentral. Lineage: Eukaryota; Viridiplantae; Streptophyta; Magnoliopsida; Brassicales; Brassicaceae.
AUAAACAUUUGUUUCAGUUGACAAUAAAGACACUAUUGUUUGAGUUGUGACCAAGUGACAUUAGCUUAAUUGAUAAAGACUAUAGACGAAACAUAGAGGUCACCGGUUCGAGUGACGGUUGGAACGAAACUAAUAUUACAUGUUGUGGUUUUUGGCAUGGAGGUUUACGGACUUCGACCCAUAACCUUUUGGUAUUAAAA